GGAGAGGUGACCGAGUCGGCCGAAGGUGCUCGCCUGCUAAGCGAGUGUGGGCCUAUAAAGCUCACCCAGGGUUCGAAUCCCUGCCUCUCCG
This 91-nucleotide transfer RNA is filed under the name bacterium. RNAcentral describes it as "tRNA-Ser". It matches the Rfam family "tRNA". From Rfam's summary of the family: Transfer RNA (tRNA) molecules are approximately 80 nucleotides in length. RNAcentral also lists the same sequence under 2 other names. The record is from RNAcentral.